GGUUAAAUACGCUCUCCGCGAGACGGCCGAGUCACGCGUGGUAACGUACCUUUUGGUUCGGAACAGCACACGUAAACUUGGGCUAGUGCCGGACAAGCCCUUACAGGGAAAGAUUUAUCGCCGAAAGAUCGGGCCGAGUCUGAUUAGCUAGGUGGCGAGGUAAUGACUCACCAAGGCGACCAUCACUAGCUGGCCUGAUAGGAUGAUCAGCCACAUUGGGACUGAGACACGGCCCAAACUCCUACGGGAGGUAGCAGUGGUCAAUAUUGUACAAUGGGGGCAACCCUGAUCCACCCAUGCCGCGGGAGUGAUGAAUGCCCUAGGCUUGUAAAGCUCUUUUGUGCCGUAAGAUAAUGACGGUACCGCUCGAAUAAGCCCCGGCUAACUUCGUGCCAGCAGCCGCGGUAAUACGAAGGGGGCUAGCGUUGCUCGUAAUCACUGGCCGUAAAGGGUGCGUAGGCGGGUCUUUAAGUCAGGCGCGAAAUCCUGGAGCUCAACUCCAGAACUGCCUUUGAUACUGAGGAUCUUGAGUUCCGUAGAGGUGAGUGCAACUGCCAGUGCUCAGGUGAAAUUCGUAGAUAUUCGUCAGAACACCAGUGGCGGAGGCGGCUCACUGGCCCGAUACUGACUCUGAUUCACGAUAGCCUGGGGAGCAAACAGGAUUAGAUACGCUGGUAGUCCAUUCCUGAUACGAUGAAUGCCUAGCGUUAGUGAGUUUACUCACUAAUGGCGGAGCUAACGCUUUAAGCAUUCCUUCUGGGGAGUACGGGCAGCAG
RNAcentral lists this ribosomal RNA (776 nucleotides) under Bradyrhizobium sp. TSBF-331. Its description in RNAcentral is "bacterial SSU rRNA". It matches the Rfam family "Bacterial small subunit ribosomal RNA", at positions 80 to 892 of the family's 1533-position model. The record is from RNAcentral. Lineage: Bacteria; Pseudomonadati; Pseudomonadota; Alphaproteobacteria; Hyphomicrobiales; Nitrobacteraceae.